RNAcentral lists this non-coding RNA (24 nucleotides) under Rattus norvegicus (Norway rat). The record is from RNAcentral. Lineage: Eukaryota; Metazoa; Chordata; Mammalia; Rodentia; Muridae.
UGGAUAUCUUGGCGGAAACACAGC